UCUAUGGAGAGUUUGAUCCUGGCUCAGAGCGAACGUUAGCGGCGGGCUUAAGACAUGCAAGUCGAGCGAGAAAAGGGCUUCGGCCCUGAGUAAAGCGGCGGACGGGUGAGUAAUACGUAGGUAAUCUUCCCUUGAGCGGGGGACAACGGUCCGAAAGGACCGCUAAUACCGCAUAAGUUCCUGGGGACUCUGGUCCUUGGGAGGAAAGCUAGGUAGCAAUAUCCGGCACUCGAGGAGGGGCCUGCGUCGCAUCAGCUAGUUGGUGGGGUAACGGCCUACCAAGGCGAAGACGCGUAGCUGGUCUGAGAGGAUGAUCAGCCACACUGGGACUGAGACACGGCCCAGACUCCUACGGGAGGCAGCAGU
This 366-nucleotide ribosomal RNA is filed under the name Kofleriaceae bacterium. RNAcentral describes it as "bacterial SSU rRNA". It matches the Rfam family "Bacterial small subunit ribosomal RNA", at positions 1 to 355 of the family's 1533-position model. Lineage: Bacteria; Pseudomonadati; Myxococcota; Haliangiales; Kofleriaceae. The record is from RNAcentral.